RNAcentral lists this unclassified non-coding RNA (283 nucleotides) under Ascomycota sp. Its description in RNAcentral is "partial contains small subunit ribosomal RNA, internal transcribed spacer 1, and 5.8S ribosomal RNA". The stretch from base 1 to 47 matches the Rfam family "Eukaryotic small subunit ribosomal RNA", at positions 1785 to 1831 of the family's 1831-position model. Lineage: Eukaryota; Fungi; Ascomycota. The record is from RNAcentral.
AAAGUCGUAACAAGGUCUCCGUUGGUGAACCAGCGGAGGGAUCAUUACCGAGUUUACAACUCCCAAACCCCUAUGUGAACGUUACCAAAAUGUUGCCUCGGCGGGGAAUUUAUUCAUUGCCCCGGGCGCGUCGCAGCCCCGGACCAAGGCGCCCGCCGGAGGACCAACCAAAACUCUUUUGUAUGUCCCCUCGCGGACUUUUAUAAUUCUGAACCAUCUCGGCGCCCCUUGCGGGCGUUUCGAAAAUGAAUCAAAACUUUCAACAACGGAUCUCUUGGUUCUG